UUUAGCCAUGCAUGUAAAAAGUUCAACCUUAUGGUGAAACUGCGAACGGCUCAUUAUAGCAGAUAUAAUGUACCGAGAUAUCUUAAUGGAUAACUGCGGUAAAUCUGGAGCUAAUACAUGCAAUUAAAGCUAGGUUCGUCUAGCUGCAGGUAUUAUUUCAAACCAAUCGUCUUCGGACGUAGUUUGUUGACUCUGAAUACCCAGUGUAUCGACGGUUUAUCUGUCGAAAACUCGGAACAGUGUCUGCCCUAUCAACUAGAUGGUAGUCUAUUAGACUACCAUGGUGAUAACGGGUAACGGAGAAUAAGGGUUCGACUCCGGAGAGGGAGCCUUAGAAACGGCUACCACAUCCAAGGAAGGCAGCAGGCGCGUAACUUAUCCACUACUUCAGUGAGAUAGUGACUAAAAAUAAAAAGACCAUUCCUAACGGAACGGUUAUUUCAAUGAAUUGAGCUUAAAUAGCUCUAUGAUGACCUAGUGGAGGGCAAGUCUGGUGCCAGCAGCCGCGGUAAUUCCAGCUCCUCUAGUGUACAUCGAUAUUGCUGCGGUUAAAAAGCUCGUAGUUUGACCUGAGUUGCAUGUGUUGAUGCUCCUUUGGGGUCUAUCUUCACUGUAACUAUUACUGUUGGUUUUCUAUAGGUGGCUUCGGUCCCUAUAGUGGCUAACGAGAUUACUAAUACGAAAUCAAAUAGCUUAAAUAAGGCGAUUGCCUGAAUGCUCUAUAUUGGAAUAAUAGAAUAGGACUUCGGUCUAAUUUAUUGGUUCUUAGUUCGAAGUAAUGAUUAAUAGAGACGAUUCGGGGCUGUUCGUAUCAUUACGCGAGGGGUGAAAUCCGUUGACCGUAAUGAGACGUCCAAAAGCGAAAGCAUUCAGCAAGAACGUCUUCAUUAAUCAAGAACGAAAGUCAGAGU
RNAcentral lists this ribosomal RNA (911 nucleotides) under Oscheius sp. 1 JA-2019. RNAcentral describes it as "SSU rRNA". It matches the Rfam family "Eukaryotic small subunit ribosomal RNA", at positions 44 to 996 of the family's 1831-position model. The record is from RNAcentral. Lineage: Eukaryota; Metazoa; Nematoda; Chromadorea; Rhabditida; Rhabditidae.